Molecule: transfer RNA, 74 nt
Filed under: Holosporaceae bacterium
Lineage: Bacteria; Pseudomonadati; Pseudomonadota; Alphaproteobacteria; Holosporales; Holosporaceae
Description: tRNA-Pro
Rfam family: tRNA
About the family: Transfer RNA (tRNA) molecules are approximately 80 nucleotides in length. Their secondary structure includes four short double-helical elements and three loops (D, anti-codon, and T loops).
Source: RNAcentral
CGGGGUGUGGCGCAGUCCGGUAGCGCGUUUGCUUUGGGAGCAAAAUGUCGGAGGUUCGAAUCCUCUCGCCCCGA